Molecule: ribosomal RNA, 319 nt
Filed under: Cyclophora tenuis
Lineage: Eukaryota; Bacillariophyta; Fragilariophyceae; Cyclophorales; Cyclophoraceae
Description: partial Bacterial large subunit ribosomal RNA
Rfam family: Bacterial large subunit ribosomal RNA
Source: RNAcentral
GCACGGAGGUAGAGCGACUGAUUGGAUGCGAGGGUUUCACCGCCUAUCAAGUCCAGACAAACUCCGAAUGCCCGGCAUUAAAGGUAAGGAGUGAGGGCGCGGGUGCUAAGGACCGCGCCCGAGAGGAGAAGAAUCCAGACCGUCGUCCAAGGCCCCGAAGUGACCGCUAAGUUAGUCUAACGGAGUCCGGUCGCCGUGACAGCUAGGAUGUUGGCUCGGAAGCAGCCAUUCAUUUAAAGAGUGCGUAACAGCUCACUAGUCGAGGAAUCUGGCGUGGAUAAUAAUCGGGCAUAAGCAUCCUGCCGAAGCUCCGGAAUCU